UGCUAAGACUGGAUAGGAAAAGUAAGGGCAUCUUUACUUUUUUAAAAGACCUUCUUUGAAGGUAUGCUUAAGGAGGGGCUUGCGACACAUUAGUUAGUUGGCAGGGUAAAGGCCUACCAAGACUAUGAUGUGUAGCUGGACUGAGAGGUUGAACAGCCACAUUGGGACUGAGACACGGCCCAAACUCCUACGGGAGGCAGCAGUAGGGAAUUUUCGGCAAUGGGGGAAACUCUGACCGAGCAACGCCGCGUGAACGAUGAAGUACCUCGGUAUGUAAAGUUCUUUUAUUAAGGAAGAAAAAAGAGUGGAAAAACUCCCUUGACGGUACUUAAUGAAUAAGCCCCGGCUAAUUAUGUGCCAGCAGCCGCGGUAAUACAUAAGGGGCGAGCGUUAUCCGGAAUUAUUGGGCGUAAAGGGUGCGUAGGCGGUUUAAUAAGUCUAUAGUUUAAUUUCAGCGCUUAACGCUGUUGUGCUAUAGAAACUGUUUUACUAGAGUGAGUUAGAGGCAAGCGGAAUUCCAUGUGUAGCGGUAAAAUGCAUAAAUAUAUGGAGGAACACCAGAGGCGUANGCGGCUUGCUGGGACUUUACUGACGCUGGAGCACGAAAGCGUGGGGAGCGAACAGGAUUAGAUACCUUGGUAGUCCACGCCGUAAACGAUGAGUACUAAGUGUCAGGUAAAACCGGUACUGAAGUUAACACAUUAAGUACUCCGCUUGAGUAGUACGUACGCAAGUAUGAAACUUAAAGGAAUUGACGGGACUCCGCACAAGCGGUGGAUCAUGUUGUUUAAUUCGAAGAUACACGAAAAACCUUACCAGGUCUUGACAUUUUCUUGCGAAGUUAUAGAAAUAUAAUGAAGGUUAUCAGGAAAACAGGUGGUGCAUGGUUGUCGUCAGCUCGUGUCGUGAGAUGUUAGGUUAAGUUCUAAAACGAGCGCAACCCUUGUCGUUAAUUGCCAGCGUGUAAUGAUGGGGACUUUAACGAGACUGCCAAUGAAAAAUUGGAGGAAGGUGGGGAUUACGCCAAAUCAUCAUGCCCCUUAUGAUCUGGGCUACAAACGUGAUACAAUGGUUGAUACAAAGAGUAGCUGAAACGCGAGUUCUUAGCCAAUCUCACAAAAUCAAUCUCAGUUCGGAUUGAAGUCUGCAACUCGACUUCAUGAAGUUGGAAUCGCUAGUAAUCGCGAAUCAGCAUGUCGCGGUGAAUACGUUCACGGGGUUUGUACACACCGCCCGUCAAA
RNAcentral lists this ribosomal RNA (1241 nucleotides) under 'Celosia argentea' leaf malformation phytoplasma. RNAcentral's name for it is "bacterial SSU rRNA". It matches the Rfam family "Bacterial small subunit ribosomal RNA", at positions 161 to 1401 of the family's 1533-position model. The record is from RNAcentral. Lineage: Bacteria; Bacillati; Mycoplasmatota; Mollicutes; Acholeplasmatales; Acholeplasmataceae.